Molecule: ribosomal RNA, 694 nt
Filed under: Halomonas sp. SL8
Lineage: Bacteria; Pseudomonadati; Pseudomonadota; Gammaproteobacteria; Oceanospirillales; Halomonadaceae
Description: bacterial SSU rRNA
Rfam family: Bacterial small subunit ribosomal RNA
Source: RNAcentral
GCAUAGGAAUCUGCCCGGUAGUGGGGGAUAACCUGGGGAAACUCAGGCUAAUACCGCAUACGUCCUACGGGAGAAAGCAGGGGCUCUUCGGACCUUGCGCUAUCGGAUGAGCCUAUGUCGGAUUAGCUUGUUGGUGAGGUAAUGGCUCACCAAGGCGACGAUCCGUAGCUGGUCUGAGAGGAUGAUCAGCCACAUCGGGACUGAGACACGGCCCGAACUCCUACGGGAGGCAGCAGUGGGGAAUAUUGGACAAUGGGGGCAACCCUGAUCCAGCCAUGCCGCGUGUGUGAAGAAGGCCUUCGGGUUGUAAAGCACUUUCAGUGGGGAAGAAGGCCUUGGGGCUAAUACCCUCGAGGAAGGACAUCACCCACAGAAGAAGCACCGGCUAACUCCGUGCCAGCAGCCGCGGUAAUACGGAGGGUGCGAGCGUUAAUCGGAAUUACUGGGCGUAAAGCGCGCGUAGGUGGCUUGAUAAGCCGGUUGUGAAAGCCCCGGGCUCAACCUGGGAACGGCAUCCGGAACUGUCAGGCUAGAGUGCAGGAGAGGAAGGUAGAAUUCCCGGUGUAGCGGUGAAAUGCGUAGAGAUCGGGAGGAAUACCAGUGGCGAAGGCGGCCUUCUGGACUGACACUGACACUGAGGUGCGAAAGCGUGGGUAGCAAACAGGAUUAGAUACCCUGGUAGUCCACGCCGUAA